RNAcentral lists this ribosomal RNA (581 nucleotides) under Duvalius carantii. RNAcentral describes it as "partial 16S ribosomal RNA". The stretch from base 340 to 498 matches the Rfam family "Bacterial large subunit ribosomal RNA", at positions 2473 to 2632 of the family's 2925-position model. The record is from RNAcentral. RNAcentral also lists the same sequence under 2 other names. Lineage: Eukaryota; Metazoa; Arthropoda; Insecta; Coleoptera; Carabidae.
AAUGGCUGCAGUAAUAUAACUGUACAAAGGUAGCAUAAUCAUUAGUUUUUUAAUUAAAAGCUUGUAUGAAAGGUUGGACGAAGUAAAAUCUGUCUCUUUUUAAUAUAAUUAGAAUUUAAUUUUUAAGUAAAAAAGCUUAAAUUUAUAUAAAAGACGAGAAGACCCUAUAGAGUUUAAUAAUUUAUUUUAAAUAAUUAAUUUAGAUUUAUUUAUUUUAUUUAUUAUAUAAUUAUUUUAUUGGGGUAAUAAAAAGAUUAAUAUAAUUCUUUUUUUUAUAUAACAUUAAUAUAUGAAUUAAAUGAUCCAUUUUUUAUGAUUAAAAGAUUAAAUUACCUUAGGGAUAACAGCGUAAUUUUUUUAAAGAGUUCAUAUCGAUAAAAAAGUUUGCGACCUCGAUGUUGGAUUAAAGAUUAAUUUAGGUGUAGAAGUUUAAAUUUUUGGUCUGUUCGACCAUUAAAUCUUUACAUGAUCUGAGUUCAAACCGGUGUAAGCCAGGUUGGUUUCUAUCUUUAUAAAAUUUUUAUAUUUUAGUACGAAAGGACCAAAUAUUUAAUAUAUAAAUAUUUAAUUAUUUUGAAUAU